CGACUAGAUGCACGAACCAAGUUGUUGAACCCCAAAUGGUAUGAAGGAAUGAUGUCCAGUGGAUAUGAAGGGGUUCGCGAAAUUGAGAAGCGCCUUACAAAUACUGUAGGGUGGAGUGCAACUUCGGGGCAAGUGGAUAACUGGGUGUAUGAAGAGGCUAAUUCAACUUUCAUUCAAGAUGAGAACAUGUUGAGCAGGCUGAUGAACACCAAUCCCAACUCGUUCAGGAAGUUGAUUCAAACAUUCUUGGAGGCCAACGGACGUGGCUAUUGGGAAACUUCGGAGGAGAAUAUUGAGAAGUUGAGGCAGUUGUAUUCAGAAGUCGAAGAUAAGAUUGAAGGUAUUGAUCGAUGAACCGUAAACCAAAUAGCUUCUAAAAUGGCAAAUAUUUGAUGACUUACUUGAGC
Molecule: long non-coding RNA, 407 nt
Filed under: Gossypium barbadense (sea-island cotton)
Lineage: Eukaryota; Viridiplantae; Streptophyta; Magnoliopsida; Malvales; Malvaceae
Description: long non-coding RNA (GBAR_LNC008429)
Source: RNAcentral